Molecule: ribosomal RNA, 467 nt
Filed under: uncultured bacterium
Lineage: Bacteria
Description: partial 16S ribosomal RNA
Rfam family: Bacterial small subunit ribosomal RNA
Source: RNAcentral
GACGAACGCUGGCGGCGUGCUUAACACAUGCAAGUCGAACGGAAAGGCCCUGCUUUUGUGGGGUGCUCGAGUGGCGAACGGGUGAGUAACACGUGAGUAACCUGCCCUUGACUUUGGGAUAACUUCAGGAAACUGGGGCUAAUACCGGAUAGGAGCUCCUGCUGCAUGGUGGGGGUUGGAAAGUUUCGGCGGUUGGGGAUGGACUCGCGGCUUAUCAGCUUGUUGGUGGGGUAGUGGCUUACCAAGGCUUUGACGGGUAGCCGGCCUGAGAGGGUGACCGGCCAAAUUGGGAUGGAGAAGGGGCCCAAACCCUAAGGGGGGGCAGCGGGGGGGAAUAUGUCACAAGGGGCGGAGGCCUGAUGGAGAACCGCCGGGUGGGGGAUGACGGCCUUCGGGUGGAAAACCGCUUUCGCCUGUGACGAAGCGUGGGUGACGGUAAUGGGUAAAGAAGCACCGGCUAACUACGU